GUGAGUGAUUCUUGUUAGGGGAAGAUGCAUAGCUAAAGGAUGGUCCACCUAUUAAUUUACUCUUUUUAUGUUGGUGUAUGUCUGGUUUGAUAUUAUUGUUUAGUAAUGUAAGUUUGUGUAGUUUUAGUUAAGCUAAGUCUAUGUGCUGCUUAUAAGAGUUUUUGUGGUGCUUUACAUUGAUAGGAAUAUUGUUGUAAUAUGGUAUUGUA
Molecule: ribosomal RNA, 209 nt
Filed under: Echinococcus multilocularis
Lineage: Eukaryota; Metazoa; Platyhelminthes; Cestoda; Cyclophyllidea; Taeniidae
Description: partial 12S ribosomal RNA
Source: RNAcentral